AAAGUCGUAACAAGGUUUCCGUAGGUGAACCUGCGGAAGGAUCAUUACAACGUAUCCACGUACCAAACUCGCGAACUGUUCCCAAUGGAGCAAACAUUGUGGAUGAAGUCAUGGUUGACUGCCUUUCGCUGAUGGAGUUCUCGGAUUUUUAUCUGAGAACUGAAGGGCUUUCAAUCGCCGGCGAGCGUCUCGUGCGCUCGCUGGGCUUCGUUUGCUUCAUUGCGGUUUUUACCAUCAGCUGUUUUACUUAUUAUUAACCCUUUUACAUCCUGAACUGAACUUGAAAGCACUGUCGCUGUCCUUGCUGGCUUCGGUCACGGACGUUGCCGACUUUGCAUUUCACAUUUACGAAACAAAGAACAACUCUUAGCAACGGAUAUCUUGGUUCUC
This 390-nucleotide unclassified non-coding RNA is filed under the name Cercozoa sp. RNAcentral describes it as "partial contains small subunit ribosomal RNA, internal transcribed spacer 1, and 5.8S ribosomal RNA". The stretch from base 1 to 47 matches the Rfam family "Eukaryotic small subunit ribosomal RNA", at positions 1785 to 1831 of the family's 1831-position model. The record is from RNAcentral. Lineage: Eukaryota; Cercozoa.